UGGGGAAUAUUGGACAAUGGGGGGAACCCUGAUCCAGCCAUGCCGCGUGUGUGAAGAAGGCCUUAUGGUUGUAAAGCACUUUAAGCGAGGAGGAGGGUACUGGUAUUAAUACUACCAGCUACUGGACGUUACUCGCAGAAUAAGCACCGACUAACUCUGUGCCAGCAGCCGCGGUAAUACAGAGGGUGCGAGCGUUAAUCGGAUUUACUGGGCGUAAAGCGUGCGUAGGCGGCUAAUUGAGUCGGAUGUGAAAUCCCCGAGCUUAACUUGGGAAUUGCAUUCGAUACUGGUUAGCUAGAGUGUGGGAGAGGAUGGUAGAAUUCCAGGUGUAGCGGUGAAAUGCGUAGAGAUCUGGAGGAAUACCGAUGGCGAAGGCAGCCAUCUGGCCUAACACUGACGCUGAGGUACGAAAGCAUGGGGAGCAAACAGG
Molecule: ribosomal RNA, 430 nt
Filed under: Pseudomonadota bacterium
Lineage: Bacteria; Pseudomonadati; Pseudomonadota
Description: Proteobacteria bacterium partial 16S ribosomal RNA
Rfam family: Bacterial small subunit ribosomal RNA
Source: RNAcentral